UGGGGAAUCUUGGACAAUGGGGGCAACCCUGAUCCAGCCAUGCCGCGUGAGUGAUGAAGGCCUUAGGGUCGUAAAGCUCUUUCGCCUGUGAAGAUAAUGACGGUAGCAGGUAAAGAAACCCCGGCUAACUCCGUGCCAGCAGCCGCGGUAAUACGGAGGGGGUUAGCGUUGUUCGGAAUUACUGGGCGUAAAGCGCACGUAGGCGGACCAGAAAGUUGGGGGUGAAAUCCCGGGGGCUCAACCCCGGAACUGCCUCCAAAACUAUUGGUCUAGAGUUCGAGAGAGGUGAGUGGAAUUCCAAGUGUAGAGGUGAAAAUUCGUAGAUAUUUGGAGGAACACCAGUGGCGAAAGGCGGCUCACUGGCUCGAUAACUGACGCUGAGGUGCGAAAAGUGUGGGGAGCAAAACAGGAUUAGAUACCCUGGUAGUCCACACCGUAAAACGAUGAAAUGCCAGUCGUCGGGUAGCAUGCUAUUCGGUGAC
This 482-nucleotide ribosomal RNA is filed under the name uncultured bacterium. RNAcentral's name for it is "bacterial SSU rRNA". It matches the Rfam family "Bacterial small subunit ribosomal RNA", at positions 355 to 847 of the family's 1533-position model. The record is from RNAcentral.